RNAcentral lists this unclassified non-coding RNA (218 nucleotides) under uncultured Tomentella. Its description in RNAcentral is "sequence contains ITS2". Lineage: Eukaryota; Fungi; Basidiomycota; Agaricomycetes; Thelephorales; Thelephoraceae. The record is from RNAcentral.
ACACCUCAACUCUCAUGGCUUGCCAUGAUGAGCUUGGACUAUGGAGGUCUUGCUGGCCUGUGAGUCAGCUCCUCUCAAAUGAAUUAGCUUGCCGGUGUUUGGUGGCAUCCCAGGUGUGAUAACUAUCUACGCUUGUGGUUUUCCACCAGGUAACUUUCAGCAAUGGAGGUUCGCUGGAGCUCAUAAUUGUCUCUCCCUGGUGAGGACAUAUUUUGACC